This 253-nucleotide ribosomal RNA is filed under the name uncultured bacterium. RNAcentral describes it as "partial 16S ribosomal RNA". It matches the Rfam family "Bacterial small subunit ribosomal RNA", at positions 524 to 776 of the family's 1533-position model. The record is from RNAcentral.
UACGGAGGGUCCAAGCGUUGUCCGGAAUCACUGGGUGUAAAGGGCGCGUAGGCGGACUCGUAAGUCAGGGGUGAAAGCCCGCGGCUCAACCGCGGAACUGCCUCUGAUACUGCGAGCCUUGAGUCCUGGAGGGGCUGGCGGAAUUCGUGGUGUAGCGGUGAAAUGCGUAGAUAUCACGAGGAACACCGGAGGUGUAGACGGCCAGCUGGACAGGUACUGACGCUGAGGCACGAAAGCGUGGGGAGCGAACAGG